This 258-nucleotide ribosomal RNA is filed under the name uncultured bacterium. RNAcentral's name for it is "partial 16S ribosomal RNA". It matches the Rfam family "Bacterial small subunit ribosomal RNA", at positions 524 to 776 of the family's 1533-position model. The record is from RNAcentral.
UACGUAGGGUGCAAGCGUUAAUCGGAAUUACUGGGCGUAAAGCGUGCGCAGGCGGUUGUGCAAGACAGAUGAUGGAAAUCCCCGGGCUCAACCCUGGGAAUUGCAUUUGUGACGUGCACGGCUAGAGUGUGUCAGAGGGGGGUAGAAUUCCACGUGUAGCAGUGAAAUGCGUAGAGAUGUGGAGGAAUACCGAUGGCGAAGGCAGCCCCCUGGGAUAACGACUGACGCUCAUGCACGAAAGCGUGGGGAGCAAACAGG